GUCCACACAGUAAACGAUGAAUACUAGCUGUUGGCGAUAUACAGUCAGUGGCACAGCGAAAGCGUUAAGUAUUCCACCUGGGGAGUACGCCGGCAACGGUGAAACUCAAAGGAAUUGACGGGGGCCCGCACAAGCGGAGGAACAUGUGGUUUAAUUCGAUGAUACGCGAGGAACCUUACCCGGGCUUGAAUUGCAUUUUAAUGUCGUGGAAACAUGGCAGCCAGCAAUGGCAAAUGUGAAGGUGCUGCAUGGUUGUCGU
This 259-nucleotide ribosomal RNA is filed under the name uncultured bacterium. RNAcentral describes it as "partial 16S ribosomal RNA". It matches the Rfam family "Bacterial small subunit ribosomal RNA", at positions 793 to 1055 of the family's 1533-position model. The record is from RNAcentral.